Molecule: ribosomal RNA, 406 nt
Filed under: uncultured bacterium
Lineage: Bacteria
Description: partial 16S ribosomal RNA
Rfam family: Bacterial small subunit ribosomal RNA
Source: RNAcentral
AUUGAACGCUGGCGGCAGGCCUAACACAUGCAAGUCGAACGAGUGGCGGACGGGUGAGUAAUGUCUGGGAAACUGCCUGAUGGAGGGGGCUAACUACUGGAAACGGUGGCUAAUACCGCAUACCAUCGGAUGUGCCCAGAUGGGAUUAGCUAGUAGGUGGGGUAAAGGCUCACCUAGGCGACGAUCGCUAGCUGGUCUGAGAGGAUGACCAGCCCAAAUGGACCGGAGGCACGGUCCAGACUCCCACGGGAGGCAUCAGUGGGGAAUAUUGCACAAUGGGCGCAAGCCUGGUGCAGCCAUGCCGCGUGUAUGAAGAAGGCCUUCGGGUUGUAAAGUACUGUCAGCAGGGAUGCGUUACCCGCAGAAGAAGCACCGGCUAACUCCGUGCCAUCAGCCGCGGUAAUUC